RNAcentral lists this unclassified non-coding RNA (350 nucleotides) under Bovista tomentosa. Its description in RNAcentral is "partial internal transcribed spacer region". The stretch from base 1 to 46 matches the Rfam family "Eukaryotic small subunit ribosomal RNA", at positions 1786 to 1831 of the family's 1831-position model. Lineage: Eukaryota; Fungi; Basidiomycota; Agaricomycetes; Agaricales; Lycoperdaceae. The record is from RNAcentral.
AAGUCGUAACAAGGUUUCCGUAGGUGAACCUGCGGAAGGAUCAUUAUUGAAUACUCUUGAUGGGUUGUAGCUGGCUCUUCGGGGCAUGUGCACGCCUGUCUUGACUUUAUUCAUCCACCUGUGCACCUUUUGUAGUCUUGGAGGUUGAGAGCAGUCGACUAUCGGAUACUUUCCGGAUGUGACGAAUUGCUGAGUGCGAAAGCAUACAGCUCUUCUCAAAUGACUUGCAACACUUCUCCUUCAAGUACUAUGUAUUCAUAUACCACAUAGUAUGUUGUAGAAUGUGAUCAAUGGGCUUAUAUGCCUAUAAUAAUCAUAUACAACUUUCAGCAACGGAUCUCUUGGCUCUC